Molecule: ribosomal RNA, 439 nt
Filed under: uncultured bacterium
Lineage: Bacteria
Description: partial 16S ribosomal RNA
Rfam family: Bacterial small subunit ribosomal RNA
Source: RNAcentral
CCUACGGGAGGCAGCAGUGGGGAAUAUUGCACAAUGGGCGAAAGCCUGAUGCAGCAACGCCGCGUGAGCGAUUAAGGCCUUCGGGUCGUAAAGCCCUGUCCUCAAGGAAGAUAAUGACGGUACGUGAGGAGGAAGCCCCGGCUAACUACGUGCCAGCAGCCGCGGUAAUACGUAGGGGGCUAGCGGUAUCCGGAAUUACUGGGCGUAAAGGGUGCGUAGGUGGGUUCUUAAGUCAGAGGUGAAAGGCUGCGGCUCAACCGUAGUAAGCCUUUGAAACUGGGGAACUUGAGUGCAGGAGAGGAGAGUGGAAUUCCUAGUGUAGCGGUGAAAUGCGUAGAUAUUAGGAGGAACCCCAGUUGCGAAGGCAGCUCUCUGGACUGUAACUGACACUGAGGCACGAAAGCGUGGGGAGCGAACAGGAUUAGAUACCCGUGUAGUC